GCCACGUCACCUUGUCUCUCUCUCAGCCUGCCACGUCGACAUGUUUUUAUUCUUUCUCGCACCUGAGACCAUUAAUCGUAUAAGGCUUUCUUAAGACAACUGGCCCUUUCAAAAUUCUUACUUCAUGUGCAUAGAAGUCCACGUUUUGGCCCAAAUAUGAUGUAAACAGAAUCUUCUUCAGUCAACGCCGCUCAUCCUCCUCUCCAUCUUCCUCAUCCUCAUCGUAGUAACCCAACCGUUUCAACCUCCUUCGGUAAACCUUUGUAACAUGAGCAUCCCAUUUCUAAGAUACAUAAAGCCAUGCAACUGUUGCGACUCUCUCAGUCGCUCACCUUACAUAUACAUUUAUCCCGAUCGACAGUUGAAGUCUCACAUCACUCAAUUAUUAAACUACGUCUGUCUUGGCUUGGGGAGGCGGAGCUGCGCUUCAGGUUAAUCCAUUUUCGGAAGCAAGGAACACAGCCGAAUGAGUAUGAGGCAUUCUAAUUGGGUUAGAAUUGAUUCUGAUCGAUGAACAGGGUACUGUCAUACAUGGGUUCAUCUUACCUAACCGUUGUUUAGCUUUUGAUCAUCAAGUCUGAGCAUAUGCGUCAGUGAGAGUGAAUAUGGAUAGUGCCGUGAAGAGCCUCUAAAAGAAGAGACGGGUCCUCUGCAAAGAGAUAUUGUGAUCCCUUAAGCGUUUUACCCCGUAACUUAUUGUCCGACAGGUUGUUGCAGAUGGUACUCACUCUAUAGUUUGACACGCGAAAGUUAUAUGUGGAGUUGGGGUCAUCCGUGACUUCUCCAUGACAUGUAUAGAUUAAAAUUAAAUGUUCGAUUUUGUUUUACUCUUUACUGUAGAAAACAAAUAUUUGUUCCAGUGUCAAGGUCCUGAAAUUUUCUGUUGAAGCAUUUUGUAAUGUGGCUCUUGAAGAAGAUGGAGAGGCUCUUGGCACAACCCCUCAUCCUGUCCCAGUCCGAGGCCUCAAUGAUCUCACUUGGGUGGAUGGUUGAAGAAGAGGAGAACACGAAAGACUCGGGUAGACUCGGGUUAGGUGACAAUGACAAGAUCAGCAAAAUAGUUCCACAGAAAGUUAAUCUUAUCCCUGACGAAGAUAUCAUUCAGGUUGUAAAGCCUUAAACUUUAAUUAUCUUGAAUCUCUAAAAGAGGAUUUCAUUCAUUUAAAGAUGCACUAAACUUUAAUGAUCAAUAAUCUUUUUACAAAUA
Molecule: long non-coding RNA, 1207 nt
Organism: Raphanus sativus (radish)
Lineage: Eukaryota; Viridiplantae; Streptophyta; Magnoliopsida; Brassicales; Brassicaceae
Exons: 5
Source: RefSeq, a predicted model, not a curated record